ACGGCUAUAUCAGACAGAAACACCGGUCCCCGUCCUAUUUUGGAGAUUAAGCAACAUCGAACCUGGUCAGUAUUUAGAUGGGUGACCGCUAGCGAAUACCAGGUGCUGUAAG
Acanthosepion pharaonis is the source of this 112-nucleotide non-coding RNA. Lineage: Eukaryota; Metazoa; Mollusca; Cephalopoda; Sepiida; Sepiidae. The record is from the annotation of a GenBank genome assembly.